AUGGAGAGUUUGAUCCUGGCUCAGGACGAACGCUGGCGGCGUGCCUAAUACAUGCAAGUCGAGCGAAUCUUGAGGUGCUUGCACCUCUUGGUUAGCGGCGGACGGGUGAGUAACACGUGGGCAACCUGCCUGUAAGACUGGGAUAACAUCGGGAAACCGAUGCUAAUACCGGAUAAUCCUUUUCCUCUCAUGAGGRAAAGCUGAAAGUCGGCUUCUCGCUGACACUUACAGAUGGGCCCGCGGCGCAUUAGCUAGUUGGUGAGGUAACGGCUCACCAAGGCGACGAUGCGUAGCCGACCUGAGAGGGUGAUCGGCCACACUGGGACUGAGACACGGCCCAGACUCCUACGGGAGGCAGCAGUAGGGAAUCUUCCGCAAUGGACGAAAGUCUGACGGAGCAACGCCGCGUGAACGAUGAAGGCCUUCGGGUCGUAAAGUUCUGUUGUUAGGGAAGAACAAGUAUCGGAGUAACUGCCGGUACCU
This 483-nucleotide ribosomal RNA is filed under the name Bacillus sp. MRMR6. Its description in RNAcentral is "bacterial SSU rRNA". It matches the Rfam family "Bacterial small subunit ribosomal RNA", at positions 1 to 480 of the family's 1533-position model. The record is from RNAcentral. Lineage: Bacteria; Bacillati; Bacillota; Bacilli; Caryophanales; Bacillaceae.